UGUGUAGGCGGUUGCUUAAGUUUGGUGUGAAAUCUCCCGGCUCAACUGGGAGGGUGCGCCGAAUACUGAGUGACUCGAGUGCGGGAGAGGAAAGUGGAAUUCCUGGUGUAGCGGUGAAAUGCGUAGAUAUCAGGAGGAACACCGGUGGUGUAGACGGCUUUCUGGACCGUAACUGACGCUGAGACACGAAAGCGUGGGUAGCAAACAGGAUUAGAUACCCUGGUAGUCCACGCCCUAAACGAUGCACAUUUGGUGUGAGUCAUUCAGUUGAUUCGUGCCGGAGCUAACGCGUUAAAUGUGCCGCCUGGGGAGUACAGUCGCAAGGCUGAA
This 330-nucleotide ribosomal RNA is filed under the name uncultured bacterium. Its description in RNAcentral is "bacterial SSU rRNA". It matches the Rfam family "Bacterial small subunit ribosomal RNA", at positions 568 to 898 of the family's 1533-position model. The record is from RNAcentral.